GUGGGUUUGUAAGUCUGUCUGUGAAAUCCCUCGGCUCAACCGAGGAACUGCAGAGGAUACUGCCGAACUGGAGUGCAGGAGGAGAGAGUGGAAUUCCUGGUGGAGCGGUGAAAUGCGUAGAUAUCAGGAGGAACGCCGGUGGCGAAAGCGACUCUCUGGACUGUAACUGACGCUGAGGAGCGAAAGCCAGGGGAGCGAACAGGAUUAGAUACCCCGGUAGUCCUGGCCCUAAACGAUGGGCACUAAGUAGAGGGG
This 255-nucleotide ribosomal RNA is filed under the name uncultured Planctomycetales bacterium. RNAcentral's name for it is "partial 16S ribosomal RNA". It matches the Rfam family "Bacterial small subunit ribosomal RNA", at positions 575 to 828 of the family's 1533-position model. Lineage: Bacteria; Pseudomonadati; Planctomycetota; Planctomycetia; Planctomycetales. The record is from RNAcentral.